Molecule: ribosomal RNA, 253 nt
Filed under: uncultured bacterium
Lineage: Bacteria
Description: partial 16S ribosomal RNA
Rfam family: Bacterial small subunit ribosomal RNA
Source: RNAcentral
UACGUGGGGUGCAAGCGUUGUUCGGAAUUACUGGGCGUAAAGGGCGCGUAGGUGGCCACGUAAGUCGGACGUGAAAUCCCUCAGCUUAACUGGGGAACUGCGUCUGAUACUGGAUGGCUUGAGUUUGGGAGAGGGAUGCGGAAUUCCAGGUGUAGCGGUGAAAUGCGUAGAUAUCUGGAGGAACACCGGUGGCGAAGGCGGCAUCCUGGACCAAUACUGACACUGAGGAGCGAAAGCCAGGGGAGCAAACGGG